UACUUUGCGCAGUGGCGGUACCGUAGCGAAUGAAGUUUAUCUGAGGCGCGGUUAUUGCUUU
This 61-nucleotide small nuclear RNA is filed under the name Trichobilharzia regenti. RNAcentral describes it as "U4 spliceosomal RNA". It matches the Rfam family "U4 spliceosomal RNA", at positions 1 to 61 of the family's 138-position model. Rfam says of the family: U4 small nuclear RNA (U4 snRNA) is a component of the major U2-dependent spliceosome. The structure of U4 snRNA from yeast and human has been reported. U4 snRNA presents a k-turn RNA motif in the 5p-SL related to recognition of Snu13 protein. The record is from Rfam by way of RNAcentral. Lineage: Eukaryota; Metazoa; Platyhelminthes; Trematoda; Strigeidida; Schistosomatidae.